UACGUAGGGUGCGAGCGUUAAUCGGAAUUACUGGGCGUAAAGCGUGCGCAGGCGGCUAUGCAAGACAGGUGUGAAAUCCCCGGGCUCAACCUGGGAAUUGCAUUUGAGACUGAAUAGCUAGGGUGCGGAAGAGGGAAGCGGAAUUUCCGGUGUAGCGGUGAAAUGCGUAGAUAUCGGAAGGAACACCAGUGGCGAAAGCGGCUUCCUGGUCCAGCACCGACGUUCAGGCACGAAAGCGUGGGGAGCAAACAGG
RNAcentral lists this ribosomal RNA (253 nucleotides) under uncultured bacterium. Its description in RNAcentral is "partial 16S ribosomal RNA". It matches the Rfam family "Bacterial small subunit ribosomal RNA", at positions 524 to 776 of the family's 1533-position model. The record is from RNAcentral.